This 435-nucleotide ribosomal RNA is filed under the name uncultured Nitrosomonas sp. RNAcentral describes it as "bacterial SSU rRNA". It matches the Rfam family "Bacterial small subunit ribosomal RNA", at positions 198 to 610 of the family's 1533-position model. Lineage: Bacteria; Pseudomonadati; Pseudomonadota; Betaproteobacteria; Nitrosomonadales; Nitrosomonadaceae. The record is from RNAcentral.
GGAGGAAAGUAGGGGAUCGAAAGACCUUAUGCUUUUGGAGCGGCCGAUGUCUGAUUAGCUAGUUGGUAAGGUAAUGGCUUACCAAGGCAACGAUCAGUAGUUGGUCUGAGAGGACGACCAGCCACACUGGGACUGAGACACGGCCCAGACUCCUACGGGAGGCAGCAGUGGGGAAUUUUGGACAAUGGGCGCAAGCCUGAUCCAGCAAUGCCGCGUGAGUGAAGAAGGCCUUCGGGUUGUAAAGCUCUUUCAGUUGAGAAGAAAAGAUUGUAACUAAUAAUUGCAAUUCAUGACGGUAUCAACAGAAGAAGCACCGGCUAACUACGUGCCAGCAGCCGCGGUAAUACGUAGGGUGCGAGCGUUAAUCGGAAUUACUGGGCGUAAAGGGUGCGCAGGCGGUUCUUGUAAGUCAGGGAUGGUGAAAAAUUCCCCCCC